Pelodiscus sinensis (Chinese soft-shelled turtle) is the source of this 2833-nucleotide non-coding RNA. The record is from RefSeq and is a predicted model, not a curated record. Lineage: Eukaryota; Metazoa; Chordata; Testudines; Trionychidae.
UGCAUUGAUUAAAUAAACUUACCUGUUACACAUUAAUAGCCUGUCAUGUCAUCUGUUAUUAACUAAACCCUGCUGAUUACAUACAGAUGGGUAGAGAACCUGAGCCUGGGCCUUUCUGGUACACUCACCCUUUUCUGUCUUGGCCUGAAUAAUUUGGGUCUUAGCCCAACAGUGGUGUAAAUCAGGAGUGACUCCACUGAGGUAAAUGGAAAUCCACUGGCCUAAAACUGAUGUAAGAGAGAUUGGAAUGAGGGGAAAAGGCAUUAAGGUGACCUGGCAGAUAAAGCCCUGGGCUAAGAUUUGGAAUACCUGGGCUCUAAUCCUGGAUUGGCCACUGCCCUGCUGAGUGACCUCAGGUAAGUCAUUUUUGUUUCAGUGUCCCCAUAUGUAAACUGGAGAUGAUGGUAUUUACCUCCUUUGUGAAGGCUUUGACCGCUACUGAUGAAGCAUGCUACAUAAGAGCUGGGUGUUAUUAAGCUAAUGGAGACCUCCACGGCUAUCACAAAACACAGAUAAGUGAGUUAUCAAGACUACACAACUCUUGGAAUUUGAUCCAUCUUUUACCCGAAAAUGUGUUGCUUCAGGCAUGAAGCUGGAGGAAAAAAAAGCAAGGAAAGGAGGAAGUAGCUUCUGCAUUUUUCUCUAAUCAGCCAUGCAUAUUGCUGUUGAAGGCGAGAGAGGAAGGUAAUAUGAGAAUGAGGCAUAAAGCCAGAUGAAAAAUUGUGUAAGACAUCUUUGUAUAACUGCCAUGGUUUCUAUUUAGCAGUGUUGAUUGAAUAGUAAAAAUAUAAAAUAAAAAAUGGGCUAGGAUAUUGUCUGCAAUCAUCACUGCACAACUGCUAUUGUUUAUGCUUGGUCUACUUAAUGGGGAAGCUAAUUACCAUGUGUUUGUUUUUUAUUAUGUUUGCAAUAUUGCAGGGAAAAGUGUUAUUUUUUCCCUCCAUGGGUUUAUAGAAAACAAACAAUACAAACAAAAAUAUGGUGGGGAAAACCAGCCUUAUUUCAUGCUCAUUUGGGCCCCUGUUUUUAUUUUUCAAUGUGGAAUUGGAAGGUGAGUUUAGAAUAUCUGGUGAGCUAACUAACCUGUCCCAAAGUGCAGUCACACUGGGUUGCUGCUGCCCUGAAUGUGGCAGGAUGCGGAAGAAAGUUGGUCUACAGUUACUGUAUUUGCAUUGUGUAAUGAGGGGUUAUUUUAUCUCGCACUUCACAUUUAGACUUAGGAAAAGAGACAAAAUAAUGACAUUGCUUCAGAAGGUGGCAGAUUGGGAACUUCUUAAUAGAAAGGCAGAGAUUCCCCAUAGAACCAACAGAAUGUGCCCACUAUGCCCCAACAAUGUGCCUUAUGUUUCUGAAGGUACCAUACAGUCUCUAGAUAUGGGUGGUUAGUUUAGUCUCCAUGCCCAUUCAGUAGUUGGUGGCUCUGUUGAGACUUUUACAAAGUUAGCACUAGGAACCUCAUUGAAACCACCAGCUCAUUUUUACAGAGACUAGUGAAUGAUCAUCAUACAAUACUGAUUCUUGCUUAUUAUUAAAUGGAGCUCAACUGAAACAAAAAAUUUACACGAGAAAGAUUCCACGUCACAAUCAACAAUCUGCCUGGCCUUCCAGAUGCCUCCUACUUUAUACUUCUGAAGCUUUUAUAGACUCAGUGUGCCCUUCAGCUCUCACAUGGUACAUGUUUAACAAGAAUUCAUUUUUGCACAGCCUUUUUAUUGUUCUAAAUACAUUUCCCAUAAGAAAAAAAAACUAAUGGCCUGCACCUUUAGUUAUUACAAACUAGAACAUUAUCCUGCUCCCUGGAAUAAUAUUCAAUUAGAGAAAGCAGAAAGUUUAUUUUUGAAACAAAACAGAGUUUUCAUUCAAGCUAGUUUAUCCCUUGCCUAACGCAGCUGCAUAUGAAAAGUGCCUCAUAACCUUUAACUAUAGCAUAACUACCAAAAUGCUGCUAUAUGACAAAUAUCACUGCAGCCAUGUCAACUCACAAUAAGCUAUCAUGUACCACGUGGGCAGUUAUGUAUGUUAGAGAUCAACGGCACAUGUGACAAACAGUGCUUAUUUGCCAAAACCUCAAGGAUUUAGUUUUUGAAUACUGAUUUAAAAAGUCCUCAGAACGUUUAUGAGAAAUAAAGCAUAUGAUCAAAACAAAAGCAUGUGACUGAAAUGUAGACAUUCAGAAUAACUUAUAAUCUCUUUGACUAAGCCAGUUACAACCACUAACAGGAAUUUUUCUCCUCUAACUUUUUCUCCUCCUGAAUUUUUCUCUAAAUUUUUCUCCUCCUGAAUCCCUUCCAAACUGCCUUUCCAUCCCUCCACUGCAUUGAAAGUAGACUCGUCCAAUUUUCUAAUGACUUCUUUAUGCACCGUUACCACUUUAGCUGAUGGGUCACACACCUUUCCACACUUGACCUUUUAUCCAGCCUCUCAUUUUGGACCAUUUCUCUGUCCUACCAGCCUUCAUGACUCACCAAUAAUUCAGACUAAGUAUGACCAAAAUCUUGCUCUUUCUUUUGAUGUCCUCUGCAUUUCUUCUCUUACUCAUUAUUGUGGAUGGCCACACCAUUUCCUCCAUCAUUCCUCUUGGUAUCACUUUUGACUCCUCCAGAAUUAUACCAACUCUAUCCAGAAUUAUACCAAGUCAUGCCACUUCUUCCUCCAUAACUUAUCAAAAGUCCAUUCUUCCUUUCUGUCCCAUGGCUAAAGCACUGUCUUUGUGAUAACGGUCUUUCAUCUUGAUUACUCCAAGCUCCUCCCCUGAGGAGCACUAGGUUCCAACUGUCUUCAGUCAGCAACAGCUAUAAUUACGCAUCUCCAUUCAAAAGCAGGACACGUUAUU